GCCCUUAUAGCUCAGUGGUAUGAGCGCGUCACUCGUAUCUGAUUGGUUGGCUCGCCAUCCAGUCAGUACAGCUAUGACGAGGUCCUCGGUUCAAUCCCGAGUGGGGGCA
This is a transfer RNA of Aspergillus terreus NIH2624, 109 nucleotides long. It matches the Rfam family "tRNA". From Rfam's summary of the family: Transfer RNA (tRNA) molecules are approximately 80 nucleotides in length. Their secondary structure includes four short double-helical elements and three loops (D, anti-codon, and T loops). The record is from Rfam. NCBI's taxonomy places the organism in Eukaryota, Fungi, Ascomycota, Eurotiomycetes, Eurotiales, Aspergillaceae.